UUUCUAUAUACAACUAGUGUUGGAUUUAAUUUGAGUUUCAAUUAUUAUAUUAUACCCAAUUUUAUUUGAAAUUACCAAAUUACCCCUAAACCUAAUUUUGCCUAAACCCUAACCUAGCUACCCUUUCCCCCCUGAGCCCAGCAGCCAUAGCACGCACAGUUUCCUUUUGUUCUUUCUUCAUGAAAGAAAGGAGCAGAAGCAAAAGAAAAACGAAAUAGAGGGGAGAAGAGGGAGGCGGCGCGGUGGGUGCCACUGCCACCGUCGCCGCCGUCGCUGACUGAGGGGAGGGGAGCUCUGAACGAGAAGAGAGAGCUCGCGAGACAGGGGGAGAUGGACCUGCGCCUUGCCGUCGACCCACGUCUCGCCGCCACUGCCUCCAUGUCUUCCAAUAGCGCCACCAUCGCCGCCGUGGAUCGCGACCAGAGGGGAGCACGAGAUCGAGAGAGAGUGAGGCGUGGAGACGGCGUCGCGCGGAGAGGGACUCGCCGCUGCCGUCGCGCACAGCCAUGUGUCGUCACUGCCGUCUGAACAGUCACCGUCGCCCUGGGGUGUAGUCCGCCGCUACCGCCAGUGGAGGUCACUGCUGUGGAACGGAGGUGAGAGAGGGAAGCAAGAUGAAUCCUCUCCGCUUCUGGUGCUCUGGUUCACCGCCACUACCGCCGGAAUCCUUGGCCGCCGCUCCUACUCUUGUUUGCAUUAGAGGAAGCU
Arachis ipaensis is the source of this 708-nucleotide non-coding RNA. Lineage: Eukaryota; Viridiplantae; Streptophyta; Magnoliopsida; Fabales; Fabaceae. The record is from RefSeq and is a predicted model, not a curated record.